This 484-nucleotide ribosomal RNA is filed under the name uncultured bacterium. RNAcentral describes it as "partial 16S ribosomal RNA". It matches the Rfam family "Bacterial small subunit ribosomal RNA", at positions 30 to 507 of the family's 1533-position model. The record is from RNAcentral.
AUUGAACGCUGGCGGCAGGCCUAACACAUGCAAGUCGAGCGGAUGAAGGGAGCUUGCUCCUGGAUUCAGCGGCGGACGGGUGAGUAAUGCCUAGGAAUCUGCCUGGUAGUGGGGGAUAACGUCCGGAAACGGGCGCUAAUAACGCAUACGUCCUGAGGGAGAAAGUGGGGGAUCUUCGGACGCCACGCUAUCAGAUGAGCCUAGGUCGGAUUAGCUGGUUGGUGGGGUAAAGGCCUACCAAGGCGACGAUCCGUAACUGGUCUGAGAGGAUGAUCAGUCACAUGGGAACUGAGACACGGUCCAGACUACUACGGGAGGCAGCAGUGGGGAAUAUUGGACAAAGGGCGAAAGCCUGAUACAGCCAUGCCGCGUGUGUGAAGAAGGUCUUCCGAUUGUAAAGCACUUUAAGUUGGUAGGAAGGGCAGUAAGUUAAUACCUUGCUGUUGUGACGUUACCAACAGAAGAAGCACCGGCUAACUUCGUG